This 426-nucleotide unclassified non-coding RNA is filed under the name Hevea brasiliensis (rubber tree). The record is from RNAcentral. Lineage: Eukaryota; Viridiplantae; Streptophyta; Magnoliopsida; Malpighiales; Euphorbiaceae.
AUUCCUUCAAAGAUGACCUACCAAGUAAACCGUAGAAGUGGUACAAGAUUAACACAACCAAAACUUUCAGACAGAAAAUAACUGACGCAAGCUCAAUAUGAAUUACUCAAAUUAUAAAGGAGAAGGAAAAUGUCUAAUUAUAUUAUAUAUCAUCAUAUAUAUAUAUAUAUUCAAAUGGGAACGUACUCCAUUUUUGAAAUUGAAACGUUAUUCUAAGGCAUAGGGUUUAGGAAUCAUCUGGCGCAUUUCAAUUACAACAAUUACUCGCCACCUAUACCCUUUCACAAAGUGGCACCAGCAAUAGCCUCUCACUUGGAGUUGGAGACACCUUGCUCUAUCCAUCAAGUAGCACCACACUGCGCGCAGCUUCCACAAAAUGCCUACCUAUGCUUGCGUUCCCGGUCCCUUUCUCUUGACCCUCUUGAA